Molecule: ribosomal RNA, 452 nt
Filed under: uncultured Planctomycetota bacterium
Lineage: Bacteria; Pseudomonadati; Planctomycetota
Description: bacterial SSU rRNA
Rfam family: Bacterial small subunit ribosomal RNA
Source: RNAcentral
UGACGAAGCGACGCCGCGUGGAUGAAGAAGGCCUUCGGGUUGUAAAAUCCUGUCAGGAGUUAAGAAAUGUAAGUUUGAUAAUACCAAAUUUACUUGACAAAGGCUCCAAAGGAAGCCACGGCUAACUCUGUGCCAGCAGCCGCGGUAAUACAGAGGUGGCGAGCGUUGUUCGGAAUUAUUGGGCGUAAAGAGCACGUAGGUGGAUUUGUAAGUCAGAUGUGAAAGCCUUCUGUUCAACGGAAGAAUUGCAUCUGAAACUACAAACCUUGAGUAUAGGAGGGGAGAGUGGAACUUCUGGUGGAGCGGUGAAAUGCGUAGAUAUCAGAAGGAACGCCGGCGGCGAAAGCGACUCUCUGGCCUAUUACUGACACUGAGUGUGCGAAAGCUAGGGGAGCAAACGGGAUUAGAUACCCCGGUAGUCCUAGCCGUAAACGAUGGGCACUAAGUAGAGG